UACGGGGGGGGCAAGCGUUGUUCGGAAUUACUGGGCGUAAAGGGCGCGUAGGCGGCCUUCUAAGUCGGACGUGAAAUCCCUCGGCUUAACCGAGGAACUGCGUCCGAGACUGAAAGGCUUGAAUCCGGGAGAGGGAUGUGGAAUUCCAGGUGUAGCGGUGAAAUGCGUAGAUAUCGGGAGGAACACCGGUGGCGAAGGCGGGUCUCUGGGCAUCUCCUGACGCUGAGGCGCGAAAGCGUGGGGAGCAAACGGG
Molecule: ribosomal RNA, 253 nt
Filed under: uncultured bacterium
Lineage: Bacteria
Description: partial 16S ribosomal RNA
Rfam family: Bacterial small subunit ribosomal RNA
Source: RNAcentral